Molecule: ribosomal RNA, 431 nt
Filed under: uncultured bacterium
Lineage: Bacteria
Description: partial 16S ribosomal RNA
Rfam family: Bacterial small subunit ribosomal RNA
Source: RNAcentral
AACGAACGCUGGCGGCAGGCCUAACACAUGCCAGUCGAGCGCCCCGCCAGGGGGGCGGCGGACGGGUGAGUAACGCGUGGGAACGUACCCUUUGCUACGGAAUAGCCUCGGGAAACUGGGAGUAAUACCGUAUGUGUCCUUCGGGAGAAAGAUUUAUCGGCAAGGGAUCGGCCCGCGUUGGAUUAGGUAGUUGGUGGGGUAAUGGCCUACCAAGCCGACGAUCCAUAGCUGGUUUGAGAGGAUGAUCAGCCACACUGGGACUGAGACACGGCCCAGACUCCUACGGGAGGCAGCAGUGGGGAAUCUUAGACAAUGGGCGCAAGCCUGAUCUAGCCAUGCCGCGUGAGCGAUGAAGGCCUUAGGGUUGUAAAGCUCUUUCAGGGGGGAAGAUAAUGACUGUACCCCCAGAAGAAGCCCCGGCUAACUCCGUG